UUGCUCGUGGUGGGGCAGCUGCACUGCUCCCACCACUUCAGGGACACCACUCACGAGCGCCGCCUUCUUUGAUUGUUGUUGUUCACACUCCAAAACAUUGUCCAGUUUGCGCUUACCGCCGUCACUAUCAAUGGCCUCCUCUAUCUCAAUAGGCAAAUUGGCUACACCCUUCUUCCUACUGCCUGCCACCUUUAACAUUCUUCGACCUCCUUUUUUAUCAUUCCCUUCCAUCUUGCCCUGAACGCUACCCACUUGGAAUAACAUCGCAGUAGAUAAGUCUGCAGUCCCCAUAACCUGUGUAGAGCCUCCAUUAUCUCCGCCACUUUUCCUUCCAUCCUGGCUGUUAUUUUCACUCCCCGUAAAGGUAUAUUGCAGCAACUGGCCCAUUUGCUUAACUCCAUGGUUGGCUCCACCCAUCACUGCUGGUUGGGUCUCCAUCCUCACAACCAGUGUUUUCAAAGGCGUCGCCGAGGCGAGCCCGGGGCGCGCUUCAGUGUGAGGCGACCGGAAAAAUCCUCGCCGGUUCAAACUUGAACGUGCUGCUGUAAAAGCGGCCGCUGAGGCGAUGGAGCGUCGCUUUUUGCAGAGGCGGAGCCUCAGGGCAGAGCGCGAGGAAGAAGACGACGCAAGGGAUUUUAUUUAUUUUUUUUUUUUUUUACUUUCUGUCAAAAUGACGUCGUUUUUUGAUUAAUUUUGGUUCCCCUCCUAGAACGACGUCGUCUUGUUUGUAGAUCUGUUUAACAACCCCAAAACGUAGUCGGCAUACGAGGUCCAGAAAGGUAGAGAAGAAGGAAAAUAACCGCCGCUGUGAGAAAAAGAAAAGAAAAAACUAGAGAACGCGCUUGGUGCUUCGACGGCUUGUGAUGUUCCGUCCAGUGGCGCGUCGUUAUGACGUCGCCGUCGGCCGGGCCUGUACGGCAGGUAGGUUCGCUGGAGGGUUUGGGCUACGCGUAAUGGUUGGUACUGAUCUUCUCAGACUCGGGCUCGGAUAGCAAUUGUGCUUAGACUCAGAUUCAUGCUUGAUGGCUGAUCACCGGCGAGUGGGUCGAUGGUUGCCAGACUGGAAGUCAUCUGCAAUGUUGUUCCUCGUCGUUACGAAGGAUAUGUGGAGAGAUGAUGGGUGGAUGAGCCAACAGAUGAAGUAGCUUUCCAAAGAAGUUUAUUCAUAUGGGUGCGUUCAUGUGAUCGAACAGAGGCUUAACAAAAGCUGAUGUAUCAUCUGAAGCACCACCCCACCACCAGCAGCCAGAUUAAAAAGAGAACAGAAAAAACAAGAAACAAAAGACCUACAAUUGUAGAGAGAUGGUGAUUGGUGGCCCGUGACGAAGAUACUGUUGCUGGUGAUGAGCCUCCUCAGCUAGUUCGACUCAUUGAAUCGAUCAACAAUAGUACAUACCACCAGAUAUCGUUGCCACGAUUGUGACGAAGACCCAUUAUCGUGCCUAAUUAGCUAGACAGGCUACUUCAAACAGAGUUCGUAUCGAGAAGUGAUCAUGCCGGCCGGAAGAAUUAAGCUAGCAAUACAUGCAUUGUCCAGGUUUAAUCCAUCCUAUGUACGUCGUUGGAAUGGUAUUGUGUAUUUGUGUUUAUUUUAAUUUCGUGUAUGUAGCUAGCUUGUAAUCAAGGCAUGCACAACAAGAUUAAUUCAAUUGUUCAUUUCUAUGA
Molecule: long non-coding RNA, 1665 nt
Organism: Rosa chinensis
Lineage: Eukaryota; Viridiplantae; Streptophyta; Magnoliopsida; Rosales; Rosaceae
Exons: 3
Source: RefSeq, a predicted model, not a curated record